This 243-nucleotide unclassified non-coding RNA is filed under the name Hevea brasiliensis (rubber tree). Lineage: Eukaryota; Viridiplantae; Streptophyta; Magnoliopsida; Malpighiales; Euphorbiaceae. The record is from RNAcentral.
GCCGACCAGUACAAGGGCCGCGUCACCCCCUUCGUCGUCUUCGCCUGCAUCGUCGCCGCCGUCGGCGGCUCCAUUUUCGGCUAUGACAUCGGUAUCUCAGGAGGAGUUACAUCCAUGGAUCCAUUUCUACAGAAGUUCUUCCCGGUAAUAUACCGGAAGAAGAACCAUGAAUCAAAUAGCAACUACUGCAAGUACGAUAACCAAGGCCUCGCCGCCUUCACCUCCUCUCUCUACCUAGCUGGC